GAUGAACGCUGGCGGCGUGCCUAAUACAUGCAAGUCGAGCGAACAGACGAGGAGCUUGCUCCUCUGACGUUAGCGGCGGACGGGUGAGUAACACGUGGAUAACCUACCUAUAAGACUGGGAUAACUUCGGGAAACCGGAGCUAAUACCGGAUAAUAUAUUGAACCACAUGGUUCAAUAGUGAAAGACGGUUUUGCUGUCACUUAUAGAUGGAUCCGCGCCGCAUUAGCUAGUUGGUAAGGUAACGGCUUACCAAGGCAACGAUGCGUAGCCGACCUGAGAGGGUAUCGGCCGCACUGGAACUGAGACACGGUCCAGACUCCUACGGGAGGCAGCAGUAGGGAAUCUUCCGCAAUGGGCGAAAGCCUGACGGAGCAACGCCGCGUGAGUGAUGAAGGUCUUCGGAUCGUAAAACUCUGUUAUUAGGGAAGAACAAAUGUGUAAGUAACUAUGCACGUCUUGACGGUACCUAAUCAGAAAGCCACGGCUAACUACGUG
This 496-nucleotide ribosomal RNA is filed under the name uncultured bacterium. Its description in RNAcentral is "partial 16S ribosomal RNA". It matches the Rfam family "Bacterial small subunit ribosomal RNA", at positions 28 to 507 of the family's 1533-position model. The record is from RNAcentral.